This 506-nucleotide ribosomal RNA is filed under the name uncultured Acaulospora. Its description in RNAcentral is "SSU rRNA". It matches the Rfam family "Eukaryotic small subunit ribosomal RNA", at positions 549 to 1057 of the family's 1831-position model. The record is from RNAcentral. Lineage: Eukaryota; Fungi; Glomeromycota; Glomeromycetes; Diversisporales; Acaulosporaceae.
UGGAGGGCAAGUCUGGUGCCAGCAGCCGCGGUAAUUCCAGCUCCAAUAGCGUAUAUUAAAGUUGUUGCAGUUAAAAAGCUCGUAGUUGAAUUUCGGAAUUCAUCCGUCGGUCGGGCUUAACUGUCCGUACUGGUGUGAUGGGUUCCUACCUUCUGAAUAACCGGCAUGCCAUUAAUUUGGUGCGCCGGGGAAGCAGGACUGUUACCUUGAAAAAAUUAGAGUGCUUAAAGCAGGCUAUCGCCUGAAUACAUUAGCAUGGAAUAAUGAAAUAGGACGGCAUGGUUCUAUUUUGUUGGUUUCUAGGAUCACCGUAAUGAUUAAUAGGGAUAGUUGGGGGCAUUAGUAUUCAAUUGUCAGAGGUGAAAUUCUUGGAUUUAUUGAAGACUAACUUCUGCGAAAGCAUUUGCCAAGGAUGUUUUCAUUAAUCAAGAACGAAAGUUAGGGGAUCGAAGACGAUCAGAUACCGUCGUAGUCUUAACCAUAAACUAUGCCGACUAGGGAUCGGA